GAUGAACGCUAGCUACAGGCCUAACACAUGCAAGUCGAGGGGAAACGAUAUUGGAAGCUUGCUUCCGAUAGGCGUCGACCGGCGCACGGGUGAGUAACGCGUAUCCAACCUGCCCAUCACUUGGGGAUAACUUUGCGAAAGUAAGACUAAUACCCAAUGAUAUCCCAAGAAGACAUCUGAAUGAGAUUAAAGAUUUCGCGGUGAUGGAUGGGGAUGCGUCCGAUUAGCUUGUUGGCGGGGUAACGGCCCACCAAGGCGACGAUCAGUAGGGGUUCUGAGAGGAAGGUCCCCCACAUUGGAACUGAGACACGGUCCAAACUCCUACGGGAGGCAGCAGUGAGGAAUAUUGGUCAAUGGGCGAGAGCCUGAACCAGCCAAGUAGCGUGCAGGAUGACGGCCCUAUGGGUUGUAAACUGCUUUUAUAAGGGAAUAAAGUGAGACUCGUGAGACUUUUUGCAUGUACCUUAUGAAUAAGGACCGGCUAAUUCCGUGCCAGCAGCCGCCGCCG
Molecule: ribosomal RNA, 508 nt
Filed under: uncultured bacterium
Lineage: Bacteria
Description: partial 16S ribosomal RNA
Rfam family: Bacterial small subunit ribosomal RNA
Source: RNAcentral